UGGGGAAUCUUCCGCAAUGGACGAAAGUCUGACGGAGCAACGCCGCGUGAGUGAAGACGGCCUUCGGGUUGUAAAGUUCUGUUAUUCGGGAAGAACGAUUCGUUUGUGAACAAUGAACGGAAGUGACGGUACCGAAAGAGAAAGCCACGGCUAACUACGUGCCAGCAGCCGCUGUAAUACGUAGGUGGCAAGCGUUGUCCGGAAUUAUUGGGCGUAAAGAGCGCGUAGGCGGUAUGGUAAGUCUGUCUUAGAAGUGCGGGGCUUAACCCCGUGAGGGGACAGAGACUGUCAUACUGGAGUCUCGGAGAGGAAAGCGGAAUUCCUAGUGUAGCGGUGAAAUGCGUAGAGAUUAGGAAGAACACCGGUGGCGAAGGCGGCUUUCUGGACGAGCACUGACGCUGAGGCGCGAAAGCGUGGGGAGCGAACAGG
RNAcentral lists this ribosomal RNA (429 nucleotides) under Fusobacteriota bacterium. RNAcentral's name for it is "Fusobacteria bacterium partial 16S ribosomal RNA". It matches the Rfam family "Bacterial small subunit ribosomal RNA", at positions 355 to 776 of the family's 1533-position model. Lineage: Bacteria; Fusobacteriati; Fusobacteriota. The record is from RNAcentral.